This 492-nucleotide ribosomal RNA is filed under the name uncultured bacterium. Its description in RNAcentral is "partial 16S ribosomal RNA". It matches the Rfam family "Bacterial small subunit ribosomal RNA", at positions 29 to 507 of the family's 1533-position model. The record is from RNAcentral.
AGUGAACGCUGGCGGUAGGCCUAACACAUGCAAGUCGAACGGCAGCACAGUAAGAGCUUGCUCUUACGGGUGGCGAGUGGCGGACGGGUGAGGAAUACAUCGGAAUCUACUUUUUCGUGGGGGAUAACGUAGGGAAACUUACGCUAAUACCGCAUACGACCUACGGGUGAAAGCAGGGGAUCUUCGGACCUUGCGCGAUUGAAUGAGCCGAUGUCGGAUUAGCUAGUUGGCGGGGUAAAGGCCCACCAAGGCGACGAUCCGUAGCUGGUCUGAGAGGAUGAUCAGCCACACUGGAACUGAGACACGGUCCAGACUCCUACGGGAGGCAGCAGUGGGGAAUAUUGGACAAUGGGCGCAAGCCUGAUCCAGCCAUACCGCAUGGGUGAAGAAGGCCUUCGGGUUGUAAAGCCCUUUUGUUGAGAAAGAAAAGCAGCAGGUUAAUACCCCGCUGUUCUGACGGUACCCAAAGAAUAAGCACCGGCUAACUUCGUG